This is a long non-coding RNA of Pseudophryne corroboree (corroboree frog), 699 nucleotides long. RefSeq lists it as uncharacterized. NCBI's taxonomy places the organism in Eukaryota, Metazoa, Chordata, Amphibia, Anura, Myobatrachidae. The record is from RefSeq and is a predicted model, not a curated record. The transcript has 3 exons.
GACCAUGAAGAGUGUGAUCUCCCGCCCUCCCCUCCUCCUCUGCUCCGCUGCUGUACCUGAGGUGGGGGCAGUUUGGUCCCUGGUCCCCCAGCUGGAUGCCGCCGCACUCCCCGCUGAUUACCCUCUUCUCCCUCCUCGACCAUGCGGCCGCCCCCUCAGCGUUUUCCGCUCCCCCCUGGCCGCAUCCUGAGACUUCAUGCUGGCGAACUAUAACCCCCCGGCCUGACAGCGCUGCUGGCUGCUCACAGUGUCCAUGUGUUCAUACAGACUGUAGGUGAAAAGGUGAAAUAAACACAAACAAAGGUCCUCCAACAGGAUGAUGACCAAAAACACAGCUACUGUAGAAGCCCACAAGAUUGGAUAAAGACUGUUCUGAAGUGGCUUCUAUGAGCACCGAUCUGAAUCUAUGGGACAUCUAUGGAAAGAGCUGAAGACGAGAAGGCACCCAACACACCUGAGACUACUGAAGCUUUGCUCAAGAAGAGUGACCCAAACUACCUGCUGACAGGUGCAGAGGUCUCACUGAGAACUACAGAAAUGACAUGAUUGCAGUGAUUGCCUCUAAAGCACAGGUUCUCAAACUCGGUCCUCAGGACCCCACACGGUGCAUGUUUUGCAGGUCUCCUCACAGAAUCACAAGUGACAUAAUUAGCUCCACCUGUGGACAUUUUAAAAUGUGUCAGUGAGUAAUGAAUACAC